Molecule: ribosomal RNA, 368 nt
Filed under: uncultured phototrophic eukaryote
Lineage: Eukaryota
Description: SSU rRNA
Rfam family: Bacterial small subunit ribosomal RNA
Source: RNAcentral
UACGGGGGAUGCAAGCGUUAUCCGGAAUCAUUGGGCGUAAAGCGCCUGUAGGUGGUUUACUAAGUCUGUUGUUAAAGACUAGGGCUUAACCCUAGAAGAGCAGUGGAAACUGGUAGACUUGAGUUUGAUAGGGGUAGAGGGAAUUUCUAGUGUAGCGGUGAAAUGCGUAGAUAUUAGAAAGAACACCGGUGGCGAAGGCGCUCUACUGGAUCAUUACUGACACUCAGAGGCGAAAGCUAGGGUAGCAAAAGGGAUUAGAUACCCCUGUAGUCUUAGCCGUAAACGAUGGAUACUAGAUGUUGCGUUUUUAUGCAGUGUCGUAGCUAACGCGUUAAGUAUCCCGCCUGGGGAGUACGCUCGCAAGGGUG